GACGAACGCUGGCGGCGUGCUUAACACAUGCAAGUCGAACGGAAAGGCCCUGCUUUUGUGGGGUGCUCGAGUGGCGAACGGGUGAGUAACACGUGAGUAACCUGCCCUUGACUUUGGGAUAGCUUCAGGAAACUGGGGCUAAUACCGUAUAGGAGCUCCUGCUGCAUUGUGGGGGUUGGAAAGUUUCGGCUGUUGGGGAUGGACUGGCGGCUUAUCAGCUUGUUGGUUGGGUAGUGGCUUACCAAGGCUUUGACGGGUCGCCGGCAUGAGAGGGUGACCGGGGACAAUGGGACUGAGAUACGGCGCAGAGUGGUACGGGAGGCAGCAGGGGGGAAUAUGGCACAAUGAGCGGACGUCGGAGGAAGCAACGUUGCGGGUGGGAUGACGGUUUGCGGGGUGUGAACCGCUGUCGGCUGUGACGAAGCGUGAGUGACGGUAACGGGUAAAGAAGCACCGGCUAACUACGUG
This 468-nucleotide ribosomal RNA is filed under the name uncultured bacterium. RNAcentral's name for it is "partial 16S ribosomal RNA". It matches the Rfam family "Bacterial small subunit ribosomal RNA", at positions 28 to 507 of the family's 1533-position model. The record is from RNAcentral.